CAACCAUCAAGCCCUGCUUGUGUUGGGGUCCUGCGGCUGCCCGCAGGCCCUGAAAACCAGUGGCGGGCUCGCUAGUCACACCGAGCGCAGUAAUACAUCUCGCUUUGGUCGUGCGGCGGGUUCUUGCCGUAAAACACCCCCCUUAACAAAGG
Molecule: unclassified non-coding RNA, 152 nt
Filed under: uncultured Cercophora
Lineage: Eukaryota; Fungi; Ascomycota; Sordariomycetes; Sordariales; Lasiosphaeriaceae
Description: sequence contains ITS2
Source: RNAcentral